RNAcentral lists this ribosomal RNA (274 nucleotides) under uncultured bacterium. RNAcentral's name for it is "partial 16S ribosomal RNA". It matches the Rfam family "Bacterial small subunit ribosomal RNA", at positions 523 to 796 of the family's 1533-position model. The record is from RNAcentral.
AUACGAAGGAGGCAAGCGUUGUUCGGAAUAACUGGGCGUAAAGCGCACGUAGGCGGAAUGUUAAGUUAGAGGUGAAAUCCCAGGGCUCAACCCUGGAACUGCCUUUAAUACUGGCAAUCUAGAGACCGAGAGAGGUGAGUGGAAUUCCGAGUGUAGAGGUGAAAUUCGUAGAUAUUCGGAGGAACACCAGUGGCGAAGGCGGCUCACUGGCUCGGUACUGACGCUGAGGUGCGAAAGCGUGGGGAGCAAACAGGAUUAGAUACCCUAGUAGUCC